RNAcentral lists this ribosomal RNA (573 nucleotides) under Aspergillus niger. Its description in RNAcentral is "eukaryotic LSU rRNA". The stretch from base 190 to 343 matches the Rfam family "5.8S ribosomal RNA". Lineage: Eukaryota; Fungi; Ascomycota; Eurotiomycetes; Eurotiales; Aspergillaceae. The record is from RNAcentral.
UUACCCUCACACAGGUUCGUUUGGGUCACCUCCCAUCCGUGUCUAUUGUACCCUGUUGCUUCGGCGGGCCCGCCGCUUGUCGGCCGCCGGGGGGGCGCCUCUGCCCCCCGGGCCCGUGCCCGCCGGAGACCCCAACACGAACACUGUCUGAAAGCGUGCAGUCUGAGUUGAUUGAAUGCAAUCAGUUAAAACUUUCAACAAUGGAUCUCUUGGUUCCGGCAUCGAUGAAGAACGCAGCGAAAUGCGAUAACUAAUGUGAAUUGCAGAAUUCAGUGAAUCAUCGAGUCUUUGAACGCACAUUGCGCCCCCUGGUAUUCCGGGGGGCAUGCCUGUCCGAGCGUCAUUGCUGCCCUCAAGCCCGGCUUGUGUGUUGGGUCGCCGUCCCCCUCUCCGGGGGGACGGGCCCGAAAGGCAGCGGCGGCACCGCGUCCGAUCCUCGAGCGUAUGGGGCUUUGUCACAUGCUCUGUAGGAUUGGCCGGCGCCUGCCGACGUUUUCCAACCAUUCUUUCCAGGUUGACCUCGGAUCAGGUAGGGAUACCCGCUGAACUUAAGCAUAUCAAUAAGCGGAGGAA